Molecule: ribosomal RNA, 478 nt
Filed under: uncultured bacterium
Lineage: Bacteria
Description: partial 16S ribosomal RNA
Rfam family: Bacterial small subunit ribosomal RNA
Source: RNAcentral
GACGAACGCUGGCGGCGUGCUUAACACAUGCAAGUCGAACGGUAAGGCCCUUCGGGGUACGCGAGUGGCGAACGGGUGAGUAACACGUGGGUGAUCUGCCCUGCACUUCGGGAUAAGCCUGGGAAACUGGGUCUAAUACCGGAUAGGACCACUGCCUGCAUGGGGGGUGGUGGAAAGCUUUUGCGGUGUGGGAUGGGCCCGUGGCCUAUCAGCUUGUUGGGGGGGUGAUGGCCGACCAAGGCGACGACGGGUAGCCGGCCUGAGAGGGUGACCGGCCACCCUGGGACUGAGAUACGGCCCAGACUCCUACGGGAGGCAGCAGUGGGGAAUAUUGCACAAUGGGCGCAAGCCUGAUGCAGCGACGCCGCGUGAGGGAUGACGGCCUUCGGGUUGUAAACCUCUUUCAGCACCGACGAAGCGCAAGUGACGGUAGGUGCAGAAGAAGGACCGGCCAACUACGUGCCAGCCGCCGCGGUAA